AUGUAUAUAUCUAAUAUAAGAGCUGGGUUCUUACCUCAGUAAUGUGGGUUUCCACUGUACAUU
Molecule: transfer RNA, 63 nt
Filed under: Cladotaenia vulturi
Lineage: Eukaryota; Metazoa; Platyhelminthes; Cestoda; Cyclophyllidea; Paruterinidae
Description: tRNA-Lys
Source: RNAcentral